This 36-nucleotide ribosomal RNA is filed under the name Acacia sclerophylla var. sclerophylla. Its description in RNAcentral is "partial 18S ribosomal RNA". The record is from RNAcentral. Lineage: Eukaryota; Viridiplantae; Streptophyta; Magnoliopsida; Fabales; Fabaceae.
GGUUGAUCCUGCCAGUAGUCAUAUGCUUGUCUCAAA